RNAcentral lists this transfer RNA (87 nucleotides) under Nitrosopumilaceae archaeon. RNAcentral's name for it is "tRNA-Ser". It matches the Rfam family "tRNA". From Rfam's summary of the family: Transfer RNA (tRNA) molecules are approximately 80 nucleotides in length. Lineage: Archaea; Thermoproteati; Nitrososphaerota; Nitrososphaeria; Nitrosopumilales; Nitrosopumilaceae. The record is from RNAcentral.
GCGGAGAUUGCCUAGCUUGGUAAGGCGUGGGAUUGCUAAUCCCAUAUUCAUUCGAAUACGUGGGUUCAAAUCCCUCUCUCCGCGCCA